UAUGCUCUACGAAUUUGCCUACCGCUCUUACACUUUGAUUUCGCAGAUCGACCGAAUCGAUCGGAGCCAGGAAGAAGUUGUGGAUGUUACAUUCAAGGAGGGGAAGAACAUUGAUUGGGAAGGAAUGGCGAAGCUUCUGGUCUCCGACGAGGCUCCCAAGGAAUUCAACACCCUCCGCCAGGAACCAGAGUCCAUAGAUUGGGAAUAUUACUGAAAAGGAAUUGGAUCUUUUGGUGUGCAAACACAAGUUUCAAAUUGGACGACGUGAAGAAAAUUCUACACUUUAUAAGUCUCAAGUUCCCACAUGAACUCCCCUAGUACCAGGCAUUUUCCAUUAUAUCCAAAAAUAUAUCGGGCUAAGUCCAAAGCGGACAAUAUCAUACUAGUAUUGAAUGAACUGGAUGACAUUGGGAAUUGGUUGUGGUAGUGGGCUCGCCCUUGUGACUUGUGGAUGUGCCUUGUGUCGAAAGUCUCAUGGCAGCGUUGGGUCGUUGGGUCGGUUCCGACAGUUGUGGUUGAUCAGAUAGCGGGUUCCUUUAUGAUAGGCAGUACAAAGUGGGCAGGAAAGGCCAUUGGUUGGUCCUUGGUUUGAGGAGAGAAUUGUUGGGUGCAGACCCAAGUCCCACAUUAGAAGACGUGAAAGAAAAUUCUACACUUUAUAAGUCCAAGUGAACUUCACUAGUACGAGGCUCACACCUUAUACAUCCCAAAUGAACUCCACUAGUAUGAGGUCUUUUGGAGAAAAUCCAAAAACAAAUUCGUGCGGGCUCAACCCAAAGCGAAUAGUAUUAUACUAGUGUCGAGCUGGUCAGUCCAGCAGGAUCUCGCUUGAUUGAUAUGUAAGCAGGCUUAUGAUGAGAUCAAAUUCCACAGUAUGUUGACAAUGUGACCCCUCAGUACAAACCCAAGUUUGAUGCUCUGCUUUUGCUAAUUUAUCAAAUUAACAACACAUGGAGGAUGUUCCACUGACUGGAUCGAUUCGUGAGUUACAGUAGGUAGAGUUGAAAGAAGCUGAGCAGGCAUCAUUAAAGGAGUCUGAAAUAUUAGAGAAAGAAAUUGCAGAGGUCCAAGAGUUGAAGGUAAUUUUAAGUUACUCUGUCUGCCGGUAUCCUUAGUUUAACAAUAAUGAAAUUCGAAAUGAUUACUGGGGCUACGGCUACUAGAUUGACAUGGUGCUACAGUUCUUGGAGCCACAUGUAAGGUGCCAUCCUUAACUUCAAUCACAUUCUGUUUUGAAAUAAAAAGUUAAGAACCAAUUUGUGUUUCCAGUUUCUUUUUUCUUGGAUUGCCUAAAUAUAAUCAUCCCUGUUGCGCCAUGUAUUGCUUGUUAUCUCCUUUCCGUUCGUGCCGACAGAAUUUGAUUAAUAAUUUAGCUUUUCGGAACUCUACUUUCUCCAUGUGUGUAUAUUUUUGUGCUCAUGUAGUAAGUAAAUGGCAUACAAUUCUGGAGUUGUAUGUGUUGAUGCUACCU
Andrographis paniculata is the source of this 1471-nucleotide long non-coding RNA. RefSeq lists it as uncharacterized. Lineage: Eukaryota; Viridiplantae; Streptophyta; Magnoliopsida; Lamiales; Acanthaceae. The transcript has 4 exons. The record is from RefSeq and is a predicted model, not a curated record.